RNAcentral lists this transfer RNA (81 nucleotides) under Crassvirales sp. RNAcentral describes it as "tRNA-Leu". It matches the Rfam family "tRNA". Rfam says of the family: Transfer RNA (tRNA) molecules are approximately 80 nucleotides in length. Their secondary structure includes four short double-helical elements and three loops (D, anti-codon, and T loops). The record is from RNAcentral. Lineage: Duplodnaviria; Heunggongvirae; Uroviricota; Caudoviricetes; Crassvirales.
GCCCCUCUGAUGGAAUGGUAGACAUAAUAGUCUUAGAAGCUAUGACCUUAGGGUGUAAGAGUUCGAGUCUCUUGGGGGGUA